CCUACGGGAGGCUGCAGUGGGGAAUAUUGGACAAUGGGGGGAACCCUGAUCCAGCCAUGCCGCGUGUGUGAAGAAGGCCCUCGGGUUGUAAAGCACUUUCAGUGAGGAAGAACCCCUGGUGGUUAAUACCCAUCAGGAAAGACAUCACUCACAGAAGAAGCACCGGCUAACUCCGUGCCAGCAGCCGCGGUAUUACGGAGGGUGCGAGCGUUAAUCGGAAUUACUGGGCGUAAAGCGCGCGUAGGUGGCUUGAUAAGCCGGUUGUGAAAGCCCCGGGCUCAACCUGGGAACGGCAUCCGGAACUGUCAAGCUAGAGUGCAGGAGAGGAAGGUAGAAUUCCCGGUGUAGCGGUGAAAUGCGUAGAGAUCGGGAGGAAUACCAGUGGCGAAGGCGGCCUUCUGGACUGACACUGACACUGAGGUGCGAAAGCGUGGGUAGCAAACAGGAUUAGAUACCCUGGUAGUC
This 465-nucleotide ribosomal RNA is filed under the name Vreelandella stevensii. RNAcentral's name for it is "partial 16S ribosomal RNA". It matches the Rfam family "Bacterial small subunit ribosomal RNA", at positions 338 to 795 of the family's 1533-position model. Lineage: Bacteria; Pseudomonadati; Pseudomonadota; Gammaproteobacteria; Oceanospirillales; Halomonadaceae. The record is from RNAcentral.